RNAcentral lists this ribosomal RNA (253 nucleotides) under uncultured bacterium. Its description in RNAcentral is "partial 16S ribosomal RNA". It matches the Rfam family "Bacterial small subunit ribosomal RNA", at positions 524 to 776 of the family's 1533-position model. The record is from RNAcentral.
UACGGGGGGGGUAAGCGUUGUUCGGAAUUACUGGGCGUAAAGGGCUCGUAGGCGGCCAACUAAGUCAGACGUGAAAUCCCUCGGCUUAACCGGGGAACUGCAUCUGAUACUGGAUGGCUUGAGUUCGGGAGAGGGAUGCGGAAUUCCAGGUGUAGCGGUGAAAUGCGUAGAUAUCUGGAGGAACACCGGUGGCGAAGGCGGCAUCCUGGACCGACACUGACGCUGAGGAGCGAAAGCCAGGGGAGCAAACGGG